GUGACUGUAGCUCAGUUGGUUAGAGCGACAGUUUGUGGAACUGUAGGUCGCGGGUUCGAAUCCCGUCAGUCACCCCA
Molecule: transfer RNA, 77 nt
Filed under: Microgenomates bacterium OLB23
Lineage: Bacteria; Candidatus Microgenomatota
Description: tRNA-His
Rfam family: tRNA
About the family: Transfer RNA (tRNA) molecules are approximately 80 nucleotides in length. Their secondary structure includes four short double-helical elements and three loops (D, anti-codon, and T loops). Further hydrogen bonds mediate the characteristic L-shaped molecular structure. tRNAs have two regions of fundamental functional importance: the anti-codon, which is responsible for specific mRNA codon recognition, and the 3' end, to which the tRNAs corresponding amino acid is attached (by aminoacyl-tRNA synthetases). tRNAs cope with the degeneracy of the genetic code in two manners: having more than one tRNA (with a specific anti-codon) for a particular amino acid; and 'wobble' base-pairing, i.e. permitting non-standard base-pairing at the 3rd anti-codon position.
Source: RNAcentral